AUCUUGUAUUUACUCCGAUCUGAUUAUUCCUAAGGUUUACUACGGAACUCAGACGAAGGGUUUGUCUGGAAACGGGCUGGCCUCCCGGUUGGAAAGGAGAUGAUUUUGUCUAUUC
Molecule: non-coding RNA, 115 nt
Filed under: Dethiosulfatibacter aminovorans
Lineage: Bacteria; Bacillati; Bacillota; Tissierellia
Also listed under: 1 other name
Description: MoCo sequence
Rfam family: Molybdenum/Tungsten riboswitch aptamer (Moco RNA motif)
Source: RNAcentral